Molecule: transfer RNA, 69 nt
Filed under: Phrynocephalus scutellatus
Lineage: Eukaryota; Metazoa; Chordata; Lepidosauria; Squamata; Agamidae
Description: tRNA-Ala
Source: RNAcentral
GAGGCUUUAUUUUAAUAAAAAUAUCUAGGUUGCAUAUAGAUGAUGUAGAAUAAAGAUCUACAGGUCUUU